AUGGAGCGGGGGGUUUAUGCCACCUUUGUGCGUCAGUGGCCUGAUGAGCCUUGUUGUCCAUUUGUGAUGAAGAUUAUGUGGGACUUUCCUCAUAAAGGCUUCCAGGUAGAAGAGCAGCUCCCACCCAGUGUCCUGUCAGCGUACCCCUGGAUCCUCCUGGCUCUCUGGUGAGUUCAUAAGGUCACUCCUAUUUUGAGCACCUUAAAUAUAUAUCUAGAUAUCUGUAUUUACCAUAUCAAAAUGUAAAUAUUAGACAAUGUGUGUAGCAUGGAUACAUGUGCUAACAUUAUUGCUGUUUAACCACAGGGAGUCAGUGUUUCAUAGGAAAUCAGAACCAGAAUCAGAAUGAGAAAUACUUUAUUGAUGGGGGGGGGGGAAUUGCUUGUGUUACAGCUGCUCCCAUUGAAAAGUCGAUAAAAUGGGCAGAAAAAUAUAAAUGUUAUAUAAGCAAUAAUAAAACAAAGAAUAAAAAUAUAAGAAAUGUACAUCUGUAUACAGUGUAAUACAUGAUGCUACAGUUGAAAUAUGAGUUAUUGAGAUUGAAAUAAAGUAGAUAUUUGAAUUUGGAUUUUAAGCAAGUUGGGCCUAAUGUUAGAGUAAUUAAUGGCACUAGAUAUAAAGGUAGAUAUAUGUUUAUAAUAAGGCGUAUCUUCAGGUCCAGAGUACGCACUUUCAGGAUGUUUACGAAGUAACAAAAUCACUUGUGAUUCGUGACUACUCAUAACAGCUUCUAAUGAUUAUAUAUUUUAUAUGCCAACCAUUUGAUAUAAGUGGAAUAAACACAUCUACAUCUGAAGUUUCUAGAAGUCGUGACAGGUUCUUUGUGCCAUAAACUUGUGUGCAUGACACACACACGCCCAGACUCAAAACAACACAAAACCUGCUUGACAAGAUGUUCAUAGUUCACUGGAACUGCUGUAGAGUGCUUAAACUGCAAUUAUCAAGCUUCCAUGGAAGAGCUUUAUUGACAAAAUGACACACCUGUGUAUAUGCGAUUUACAUGCCCUUUAAAAACAUGUAUAGCGUCUAAAGGAUUCAGUGAGCAAAUGACAAGCUUGUACUAAAUAUAUUAGAAAAGGCUAAAACACAUUAUUUUUCAAUAAUUUUAGAAAUUCACCACACUGACUCCUUAAAUGCUUCGUAUUAAGUUUGACUUAACUCACCUGUUCCCACAAUACCCAUUCUUCAUUAUAAGUGCUGUGUUAUGAGAUUCCAUCUUCUCAUACCAUGACCCUGCCACGCCACACACACCCUUCUGUGUAAUCAUUGCUCUAACCCUUACCUUGAUUUUUAUUGUGCCAUUGUUUGUGUCUUAUGCUGAUGCACAACCACAAGUCUCGACAGCUAUUCACCACUGACUGACAUGUCAUGGAAUACAAUUUCAACACAGUAACCACAUUAAUUAUUGAUAUGGACUUCUGGAUGAAAUCAGAGGCCAAAGCAAAUUUUCCAUUGAGGUUGCCUUACUCUCUGUGCUUUUGUAACUGUCUCUAAAAUUUACAUAAUAAAGUCAACCGCAAUAGAGCUGCUCGAGAUAUUCGCAGUUUAGUCCAGUUAUUACAAUUGUUCAAACUAUUUUUUUUCGCUGUGUAUAACUGAAACCAUUUUAAUGCUGUCUAGUGACGAAAGAUCAGUAGCCAAUUCCUUAUCAACCAUCACCAUUGCAUUUAUGAAAUAAGAAAGCCUGAACGUCCCAAAAAAAUCUUAGUCAAGAAAGUUAGAGCAUACAAUAGAAAAUAUACUAAAUGUAAACAUACCAAAACCAAAACACUUCUUAAACCAGAAUAAAAUAGACAUAUGUACAUAGAUCACAAAGUUGUCAAUUGAAUGGUUUGUGUAACAUGACUUAUGAACAGCGGUAUUGUGUGUCUGGUGUUAACAAAGUUCUAACUUUCACAUUUACACAGACAUUAAUUUUUUUUCUUGUCAUUGUUGACAGACACGGAAUCUAGGGAAGAGAAACAAACCCUUCAAGCGUUGCUGAAAGAUCGCAUCACUAGGUGUGAGUCUCCAGAAAGAUAACCUGAAUCUCUGGAGUGAUAGAUGUGUGAUAGCCUGUUCAUGGUAGUUUUUUGACUUUCCAUUUGGAGAAGAGUGGCUGUCUCAAGGUUUUCUGUUGCAUAGGAGGUUUUUGUACUGUAGGUGGAGAUUUCACGUGGCAUGCAGAUUGAUGCCAGAGUACUGAACUUGAAAUCCAAGUCCUGGUCCCAGUCUAGGUCAAAGGAGAAGUUCGUCAUGGAGAUGGCAUCAAGCUCAGUUCUGGUCUCUGUGUCUUCCUCCUCAGCAUACACAUGAGGAGCAUAAUCACCCAGCUCCUCUUCCAGUGUCUGAAGAUUGAACAGCUUCUGCAUUAUACAGAAGGAAAAAAAAUAGAAGAUGAGAAGUUUUAGUCUUUUUAAAGAAAGAAACAGACUUAUCCUAGCUUGGUAGGGUUGAUUAAAUUAUUGUCAUUACCAUAUUUAGUGCUUGGGACAGAAAUUCACGGUGGACGCCAAUUUCAUAUUCUGUAGAAUAUUUAAUGGCUUUCAUCUGAGAAAUAAGAAGCAGUUAGUUAUAUGAUUUUAGUUGUUCAGUAAAUAACAUCAGAAGUCAGCUGUAACAUUUCAUAGUUAAAGCACAAUCUUUAUUAAACAAAGCUGUUUGCAGAGGAUCCAUGGAGAUGAGGUAUUUAUUUGUGGCUAUGUAAGAUUAAUACAUGUAAAAUUAACUUAUCCAACCCAAAUAAAUUUUGAAUCCUCCCCAGCAGCAUAAGAAGUAACUAUAAUAACUAUGCAGAAAUUGCUGAUGGUCUUUUUGCUUAUGCAGGACAUAUAGAGGCAUCAUUGUUAAAUUGAGGCAGUAGUAUGUUUUAACUCAAGGGAUAUAAAAACAUUAGAUGAUGAAAGAUUAAACAGGAAAAGGGCUCAUAGUAGUGUAGAUUGCAGUACCUUGCGCAUAAAUGAGUUUCUGCUCUGAUCUGUGGUUCUCAUGGUUGAUGAGGUACCUGUUGACUGUAAAUUCAAACAUUUCAGUUGUUAAUACGGUGCCGAAAUGGCAGCUUUUCUAAAACUUCUCAGUAUUACUUAGAUUUAAUAGUAAUGAUAAUAAUAUAGGUACCGAACGCCAGAAAUUCCCCCGUAUGAACUGUUGUCCCCCGACGCCCCACUGGUCUUGUGAUGUCUGAUUUUGCUGAGAAAAGCAAAUAUAAUUAAUGUCAUACCAUGACAAACAUCUUACUUAUAAAAUAAUUUUCAUUAGUGUCCGUUUGUUAGAACAAAUUAGUUUAUGUUUGGAUUUGUGGUUCUCAUGGUUGAUGCGGUAACUGUUGACUAGAAAUUCAAACAUUUCAGUGGUUAAUUGCUGAUGGUCUUUUUGCUUAUGCAGGACAUAUAGAGGCAUCAUUGUUAAAUUGAGGCAGUAGUAUGUUUUAACUCAAGGGAUAUAAAAACAUUAGAUGAUGAAAGAUUAAACAGGAAAAGGGCUCAUAGUAGUGUAGAUUGCAGUACCUUGCGCAUAAAUGAGUUUCUGCUCUGAUCUGUGGUUCUCAUGGUUGAUGAGGUACCUGUUGACUGUAAAUCCAAACAUUUCAGUUGUUAAUACGGUGCCGAAAUGUCAGCUUUUCUAAAACUUCUUAGUAUUACUUAGAUUUAAUAGUAAUGAUAAUAAUAUAGGUACCGAACGCCAGAAAUUCCCCCGUAUGAACUGUUGUCCCCCGACGCCCCACUGGUCUUGUGAUGUCUGAUUUUGCUGAGAAAAGCAAAUAUAAUUAAUGUCAUACCAUGACAAACAUCUUACUUAUAAAAUAAUUUUCAUUAGUGUCCGUUUGUUAGAACAAAUUAGUUUAUGUUUGGAUUUGUGGUUCUCAUGGUUGAUGCAGUAACUGUUGACUAGAAAUUCAAACAUUUCAGUGGUUAAUACGGUACCAAAACUGCAGCUUUCUUCAAUUGUUCUCAGUAUUACUCAGAUUCAAUAGUUAUAAUGACAAUGAUUAUAAAAACUACAGCAACAACUAUAAAGAUAAUAGUAUCAGUCUUGUGAUGUCUGAUUUUGCUGAGGAAAUCGAAUAUAAUUAAUGUCAUACCAUGACAAACAUCUUACUCCAUGGGUCCAUUUGUUAGAAUAAGCCUGGCAACGUAUUCCGUAUUUUUCUAGUUGUCAAAGCAAAAUACCUAAGCCAAGAGUUGGUUAGUCUGUCUUUCCGACUUUCCGACUUUUCCUGUCUGUUAAUUAAUCCCAGGCUCACGUGUUCUGAAUGAAAACGUAAAUAAAAAGUGUUUCAAAUCUUUACCGAAUAUGUGCUAUCAUUUUCGGGAAAUCCAAAGGUUCGCUAGAACAGCUGAGUACUGUGGUUUGUAGCAAACAUACAUGAACUGUAGUAAACAGUAAAUCAUUUAUUUAAGACUGUUUUCAGUUGAGGUUUGGUAUGCUGCGAGUAUUCACCAGCAAGAUGGUGCGUGUAUGAUUGACUCAAUGUGCAUUGUAGUGGCAGAGCAUUCUUCUCAGUGCAGUCUUUAUAUUAGUUAUUAACAAUGGAGGUCUAUGGCAAAGGGGAUAAGCUAUAUCAGGCUUUGGCUACUGUACACAGACAGUACUUGUUAGUAGGAUCAACAGGGUGCAGUUUAAAAAAAAAUAAAGAUAUAACCCAUUACCCAUAACUCCAUUUCGGAUAUUUUGUCAUUUGAAUGGGCUGCUCCCGCCGCCAUGUUGCCUGUCUGAAAAAAAAAGGCAUUUUAAGUCAAGUAAUGAUCACACGUAAUAAACUGGGGAAAAAAGUAUUUUAUGAUGCAAAAACGGAUUAAGAAAAGUUUGCUCAGCACUUACUCCAUUUGGAAUCAGAGCUGGAACUUGAGUCAUUGGUUGGUCUAGUUUCAUAAAGAUCACCUGUUGAAAAUUUGAAUACAGAAUCUGAAGUCUUUACAGCACCAGGUCAAAAUUAUUUUAGUGUGUAGAAUACUACACAUUCAGGAAAGCAAAAUUACAUUGCUUG
RNAcentral lists this long non-coding RNA (4966 nucleotides) under Sparus aurata (gilthead seabream). Its description in RNAcentral is "lncRNA (ENSSAUG00010004072.1)". Lineage: Eukaryota; Metazoa; Chordata; Actinopteri; Spariformes; Sparidae. The record is from RNAcentral.